GGCCGUGGCUCAGUGGUAGAGCACUUGCCUUGCAUGCAUAAGGCUCUGGGUUCAAUUUUCAGCACCACCA
Molecule: transfer RNA, 70 nt
Filed under: Cavia porcellus (domestic guinea pig)
Lineage: Eukaryota; Metazoa; Chordata; Mammalia; Rodentia; Caviidae
Rfam family: tRNA
About the family: Transfer RNA (tRNA) molecules are approximately 80 nucleotides in length. Their secondary structure includes four short double-helical elements and three loops (D, anti-codon, and T loops).
Source: Rfam by way of RNAcentral